CCACACUAUCAAUUGCGUCAAAGAUUUUAGGUUUGCAGGGUGUUUCUUUCGAGACACCUUCAAUUAUCCUCGCGCUGAUUAUCCUCGCGCUGAUUGUUCACCAUUAUUUCUCAGUGUAGGAAUUUUAUUUUCAAAAUUCAAUCUUUUGAGCUAGAUUAAGUAUACCUAUACUUGUCAUUAAUUUGUAUGUUCAUAUAGUCAUGGUUAAUCCACCUCAUUUCUGUUACUCUCCAUGACAAUGCCAUUUACAAAUGAUUUUCCAUCACUCAAUAUAAAAUUACCAUAUACAAUUAUUUAAAUAACUUUCAUGCUCUACUUUGACUAAGCUUUCUAUAUAAAUACAUAGCAACAAAUGCACAUACUACUUAUUUGUUUUCAUUAUAGUUCAACCAAGAACAAAUUCACUAACAGAUUCAGAACAAUAAAAGGAAGUAGUAGUAUAUAUCAGCAGUAAGUUGGAACAUUGACAGGUUUGUAAACAAAGGUUCUGACAGCAUGUGAAUACCCUGAUGGAUGAUUGUAACUGAAUUUCACCCCUGCGCUACCACCACCAAGAGUUGUGCAGUGAUCAUGGAAACUACUGAUUGGUCGAGCAAGACAUGCAUCCCAACGAUCAGUCUCGGGCAUUGUCUCGGCUACUGUGUAUAUCCCCUUAGCAUCUGUAAAUGCUUGAUAGUUUAGAACUUCGCCGGACUUGGUGAUGCAUAGAACAGCAACUUCAGCACCUGCAUUAUACAUCAUUCAAAACCAACCAUGUUAAAAUAAAUCCAGGGAAAAUCAAUUCUAGUUUAAACCAAAAAGUUUGGAGUGCGAUUUUUUUCUUUCCACUUUCCUUUUAUAUUAGCACAAAAGUUGGAGUUGUUCUGUGUGACUAGAUGUUACAGCCUUAUGGGUUUGAGUCAUGAAAUUAAUCUAUUGCAAAUGUAAGGUAAGACUGCCUACAAUAGUUCUGUAAUGGAUCCAACCCUUCCUUGGAUCUUGCUACGGCAGGAGCCCUGUAUCACCAGCCUUUUCCCGUUUAUCCAUUCCCUUUUAUAAUAAAAGAUAUAUGUAGCACUGACACUUAGGAUUGAAGGAGAUUUUGUUGUCCAGCAUGUGUUAGAAUCUGAUAUCGACAUGAGACAUGUGGUUACAAUUACAUUCAAUUAUCACUUCUAUUUUCUUAAAUUAUUAUUGGUGUCUACAUGUCAGUGUCGUGUGCAGUGUAUACGUGUCAGUGUCAAUGCUUCAUAGGAUCUAAACCAAAUCUAGAGGAUGACCAUUUGACCACAUUCACCUGUCCUUUGUUGUAUCAUUGUUUAAAUUCAAACUGACUCAUUACCAAAAUGGUUAAAUAUGAAAAUGGGGUUUACUUAGAAGCCACAUACACUAGGAUAAGAGAAAGUCCCAUUUUUUAUGGAGACAACAAUAAAUUAGGUUUGUCAACUAGUCAUAGAACCAAUAUCAAAUGUUGCUAAAAAGCCUUAGAAUACAUCCAUGAGACGUCGCAUCAAAGG
This 1496-nucleotide long non-coding RNA is filed under the name Trifolium pratense (red clover). RNAcentral describes it as "long non-coding RNA (TPRA_LNC008673)". Lineage: Eukaryota; Viridiplantae; Streptophyta; Magnoliopsida; Fabales; Fabaceae. The record is from RNAcentral.